RNAcentral lists this long non-coding RNA (7190 nucleotides) under Homo sapiens (human). RNAcentral's name for it is "HSALNT0403431". The record is from RNAcentral. Lineage: Eukaryota; Metazoa; Chordata; Mammalia; Primates; Hominidae.
GGAAGUGACUGUAGGUUUAGAUGAAUGGAAAAUGAACUUGCCAGUUCACAGCUAUGUCCUUCCCAAUUUAGGAGGUUAAGGGCAGGAAAAACAUGAGAAACUCUUUUGAGAAGCUGCACAAGCUGACAUGGAGGAUCAAGGAUUUCAAAAGCUUUGAAUAUAAAGAGGUGUCAGACUUACAUCAGAGCCUGAGACUUGACAUGCCUAUUUUUGCACUCGCUCAUUUUUCAAAUUUCAUAGGCAUUGCUCCCUCCAAAUCACCGCUCUUCUAAUUUUAUCCUGGAGUGUGCAUCCCAGAAGACAUAAGCUGACACAAUUGGGAACUGAAGUUGCUUGAAAAAGCUGGUGGUAAGAUUAGGGAUCAGCAUCAUAUAUCACUAUUUCUCAAAGAUUAUCUGGUCUCUUGAUGGCAAAUCUACAAUAUUGAAACCUUUGAAAGAGAAAUUGUGUUUUGUGAGUUACAUGACUACCGUUUGCAUCCAAGGUCUCCUCUGUAGUCAAGAGAAGAAUGCAGAAACUACAUGUCCAAGAAUCUCUUUCCAGACUCUAGACAGCUUAUACGUAUUUGGACAAGGCAACGUGAUGAAGAAAUAAUAUAAUUGUAGGAUCACCUCUGUCCAGUAGCUGUUAUCCAACAUCUGCAUACUUAGAUUUCUGGAGAGGUAGGUAAACUACUGUAUUAGAAAACACUAGAAGUGCAUGAUUGUAUUUUUCAUGUCCAAAGUCUAACACAUUAAAAGAGAAAAGGAUUCGAAAAUUAUCUACUUUGAAAGUUUUAAACAAAAGUGAAUUUUCUUGGUUAAAUAUCCUAUUUAAUUGCCUUUCUAAAAAUAGCCUAAAUGUCCAUUGUUUGAUAUAUGUGGUGAGAUAUUUUUUAAAGUACUUAAUUAUAAUGUUUUAUUUGAUGAGACUAGCUAUUUGGUAUUUUUUUAAAUGGAAAGGGGGCAAACAUACUUAAUAAAAUGCAAAAAUAGUACUGGAAAAAUAUUUUAAAUGAUUGCUAAGUAUUUUAGUGAAUACCUAAUUGCAUUAAUUUGCUGAGACUGCCAUAACAAAAUAAGACACAUUAAAUGGCUUGAACAACAUAAAUUAUUUUCACACAAUUCUGGAGGCCAGAAGUUUAAGAACAUGGUGUCUGCAGGUUUGACUCCUCCUGAGGCUUUUCCACUCUGCUUGCAGUUGUGUGCUUUCUCACUGUAUCCUCACACUGUCUCCCUCUGUCUGUGUGUUCUACAAUCUAAUCUCCUCUUCUUACAAGGAUACCAGUCAUAUUAAAUUAAAUCUGCACCCUAACGACCUAAUUUAAUUUAAUUAGCUCCUUAAAUAUUUUAUCUCCAAAUACAGUUACAUUCUGAAGUACUACAGAUUAGGACUUCAACAUAUUAAUUCUGGGGGGAGGGACACAAUUCAACUCAUAGCACUUGUGUUGUUCAUCUCAUAGAAAUAUAACUUUCUAUGGGUCUUUCACAACAAUGAAUGUUAGAUGAAUGCUAUGGUUUGAAUGUGUUCCUUCCAAAAUUCAGGUGUUGCCAAUGUGAUGAUUUGCUUUGUUUUGUUUUGUUCCUUUGAGACAGAGUCUUUCUCUGUCACCCAGGUUGGAGUGCAGUGGCACCAUCUCGGUUCACUGCAACCUCCACCUUUGAGGUUCAAGCAAUUCUCCUGCCUCAGCCUCCUGAGUAGCUGGGACUACAUGCGCGUGCCACCAAACCCAGCUAAUUUUUGUAGUUUUUAGUAGAGUUGGGGUUCACCAUAUUGGACAGACUGGUCUUCAACUCAUGACCUCAAGUAAUCUGCCUGACUUCGCUUCCCAAAGUGUUGGGAUUACAGACAUAAGCCACCAUGCCUGGUCCAAUACAAUGAUAUUAAGAGGUUGAUGCUUGUAUACAUGUGUAACUAGCCUGCACAUUGUGGACAUGUACCCUAAAACUUAAAGUAUAAUAAUAAUAAAAUAAAUAAAUAAAUAAAUAAAUAAAAAUAAAAUAAAUAAAAAAUAAAGAGGUGAUGCUUUAAAGAGGUGAUUAGGUCAUGAGGACUUCUUCCCUCAUUAGUUGGACUAAGGUCCUUAUACAAGAGGCUUCACACACCAUUUGGUUCUAGCUGUGCUUCUGCCUCCCACCAUGUGAGGACACAGCAUUUCCCCCUCUGGAGGAUUUAGCAACAAGCAACCAUCUUGGAAGCAGAGAGCAACCAUUUCCUAGACAACCAAACCUGCUAGAGCCUGGAUCCUGAACUUCUCAGCCUUCAAAAUUAUGAGAAAUACUUUUCUGAUUAUUAUUAGCUACCCAGUUUCAAGUAUUUUGUUAUAGAAGCACAAAAUGGACCAAGAUGAUGAAUUUCUGAGACUGCUGACACCAUCAUAGGAGCAACAUGUUUAUUGUGUAAUCUCUUGAGACUUAUCUCAAGUUAGAAAGAAGGAGGAAUAGAUUCUACUGCCCACAGACAAAGAUUCUUUGAACUUUGGAUUUUGAUGGAUCUAAGCACAAUAUUUAAUUGUGAGUACAUGUUAUUAAACUGAAGAACAAAAGAAAGUUAUAUGUAUUUAUAGAUGUUUGUGGAGAAAGAUGAAAAAAUAUUGACAAUACUCGACCUGUACAAUGCAGAGUUGAUGAAAUUCAGAAAGUAUGAUUGCAGGAAAACAAAGCUAGUUGGCUUCCAACUGGUAAAAGUUCACACUAUGAAGAAUUAACUCCCUCACACUUCCUGUCUGUAUAGCCCUAUGCCUUCACAAGAACAAGUUCCCACACCAGGGUCAAGAAGGAAACCGUAAGUCAAGACAAAAGUGCCCAGUGAAGGCAGAAGAUGAGGGGUCUCAGGUUGCAUCUUCGGAGGCACGAGGAUUCAAAGGUGAACAAAGCACACAGUACAUCAUUUGAUGUGGUAAGUUUCAUGGACAUAGAAGUAAGGGGGAUGAAAUGUCGAGGUGUGUGUGGCGGGGGAGGAGGGGAAUUCAAAUGAUAUUCUGAUCAUUAAAUAAACUUGAAACAAACUUGGAAAGGUGAAGUAAAACAGCAGCCAUUUUCCUGACACUCAAGGAUUGCUUCUGCAGGUGGAGAAAACGACAGCUUCAGAUAUUCUAUGAUGUACAGAUGCCAUUUAUCAAAUUCUUUGAUUUCAAGUAAUAAUGGUGUUGGUGCAGCCAGAGUUGCAAAAGAGGACUGUUGAUUCCAACACAGUCUCAAAGAUGGUUGAAUUAUGUGCUUCUACUAAUGUGUCUGUUAUUCUGGAGCCCAUAUUUGGAAACCCAGUCUAAAAAAUGCAUCUUAAUCCCUAUCUAUGAUUUUGAAACCAUUUAAUUAUUUACUUCUCCAUAUGUCUGAAGGCAGUACUACACAUUGGAAGUUUGAGGAAAUAGGAUACUUAAAUAUUUAUUUAAGAUAAUUGAAGAGUAAUUAGUCCAGGGAAAGAUUAUAGGAUUCCCUAGAGGUAUAGGGCCUACUGGAGGUGAUCAAAUUAAAAUGAAGUCAUUCAUAAUGAUUUUUUUUCACUAGUCCUCUCAUGCCUGCAUGAUGAGAAGAUAUGAACAAGUAAAUAAUUGGACUUAACCUGUGCUUUUCCUACUUGCAUAAAAUGAGGAUGUUAAUGGGAAUUGUGGAUAUGUGAAAGAUGAAGAUUAUGAUGAUAGGCCACAGAAUUUAAGUUUAGUAAAAUGGAAAGUGAGAGCAUUUGGUGGUUAGAGAGUAAAAAGGUAGUAGAAACCAUGGUUUGGACAAGGCAAUUAAAUAGGAGUGAAGUAGAGCAAAUAAAAGGAAACACUAUUAAGGCAGAAGGUUGAUACUAUAGAAUUCUGAGAUAAUAAUCAACUAUUGUUUGGAAAUAAAAUUUGUUUAUAUUUAUACUUGCUUAUUUUACCAUCUCAUUUUUUGGUUAAAGUUACAAGAAGUAGAGUUAUGUCCUAGUUUUCUGUAACCAGUGACAAUAGUAAAAACAAGAAUUAAUUGACCACAUACUAUUUUUGAGACUAUUUUAUGUGAUUUUAUUGAUUAAAUAAUUGAUAUUUCAAACAACUCUGUGAAAAAGGAAAUAUCACUAAGCCUAUUACAUAGACAAAAAAGAAGAGCAGAGAAGCAAAGCAUCACAGGGCUGGUAAAUUGCAGAGCUGAGAUUAGAACGAAGUAGUUUGACUUUAGAGCCUGCGUGCUUACCUGGACUUUUUCACUUUCUUGACCAGAAUUUAGAUCUGAUUUCUAGCUAUCUUUCUUUUUUCCCACAUAGCCAUUUUAUCUGACUGAAAGAUUAUAGAAAUAUGUGCACAACUGGACUGAAUACUUGAUUGUAUAGUUAACUCAUAGUGAUGCCAGCCUCUAAAAUGGCUUACAUGAUGAAAUGAAGAAGUAUCUCUGCUAUAAAGGCUUUGGAGUAAUGUAUUUGUGACCAUAUUUGUUCAUGUUUGUAACAACAUCAGACUAAAAUGGAGAGUUCUGAUCGGCUGCACAAUAACCACUGUGCAAACAUUCAGCACAGUCAUCAAAAUAUCAAAAACAGAAAAAAAAAAAUCCAGGUAAUGUAAGGCUAUAAUCAUUUCAGAAUAUUUAUUAAAUUUAAAUUCAUUGUAAAUAAUUCUGAAUCUCAUACCUCAUUAUCACAGACUUAAUCUAGAUAAUAAAUAUAAAAAUUACAUUAAAAAUUCUGUAAACUAUAAAAAAAUUAAAAAGGAUUUGAUACAGACUUGAGUUUUGGUUUGUUUAUAAUCUUGACUGUUGCUAUAUUGACCCUUAAUUUCAACAGUCACUGAAAAUCAUAAGGUAAAAUUACUUCCCAGUUUUUUUUUAAGUUUCUUAAUUAGAAUUUGCUUUCUGAGAACACUCAAAACAGCUUUAUGUGCCAUGCAAAGUAAUUAGGGGAAUUCUUAUUACUCUUGCAACUAGGAGAUGGAAGCAUCAAAAAAUUAAUUGAAUAAUAAAUAUCACCAUAGGGAAACAACAUUAUUUGAAUAUCACCAUCCUUCUGGCUUGAAUCCCAGAAUGAAGGAAACUGAUGGAUUUUCAGAAAGGUAGGAAACAAUGUACAGGUUUUGUUUUCAAUAAUUUUUUAUUCAAUUCUGUACAUGAAGCAAAUAUUUUACUUCUAAAAUAUCGGUCAUCGUUUUUCCAUUAUCUGAAAUUCUAUAGGAAACUCCAAGAAUGCAAAAGUGGUCAUAUGUGUGUUUGUGUUUGUGUGUGUUUGUCCAUAUAUUCAUUUUCUCAAAUGUACUAUAUAAGAGCCUCAUUAAUACUGAAGACUGCAAAAUAAAUCAUAAAAAUAUUUCAGCACUGGUUCCAAUUCAGGCAGAAUAAGUGGAACAUACAUCUGCUGCAUGUUUUAUUUUAUUAUUUAAAAUAUCCAACAAUAAAAUGGAAGAUGAAAUGGUUUGCUCAUUUAAUUUCCAGAUAUCACCUCAUUUUGAAGAGAUAAAUGUGGUAUCACCUGGAGAUUGUUACAAAAUAUUUCAAAUGGAAAGGCAAGUGUAAAACCCAGAAUAACAUUGUGAAGCCAAUAUUGAUCAAUAGGUGGAGCAUAUUACCGGAAACAGGAAAUUGUUACGUUGAAUGAUUUCUCCAUUUAGGUGCUACAGGGGCAUGAGAGGCCAUUGGAAUUCUACCUUAUGGGUCUCUUCCCCACUGCUAACUAUGUAAACUUGUGUUCUUGCACCUCUGAGGUGUGAUCUGAUAUCAUUUCUACAAUCCUCCAUGUAUUAGUCUGUGUUCACACUGCUUUAAAUACCCGGGACUUGGUAAUUUAUAAAGGAAAGAGGUUUAAUUAAGUCACCAUUUGGCAUGACUGAGGAAGCCUCAGGAAACUUACAAUUAUGGUGGAACAGGAAGCAGACACUUUCUUCACAAGUUGGCGAGAAAAAGAAUAGCAAAGGAGAAACUUUCAAACACAUAAAAACCCAUCAGAUCUGAUGAGAACUCACUCAUUUUCACAAGAACCGCAUGGGGGAAGCUGCCCCCAUAAUCCAUUACCACCUCCCUUCCACAACACCUGGGAAUUGCAGGUCCCUCCCUUGAUACAUGGGGAUUAAAUUCAAGAUGAGAUUUGGGUUGGAACACAGAGCCAAACCAUAUCAUUCUGCCCCUUGCCCCUAGCAAAUCUCAUGUCUUUUCACAUUUCAAAACCAAUCAUCCCUUCCCAACAGUCCCCCAGUCUUAACUCAUUCCAGCAUUAACUCAAAAGUCCACAGUCUGAAGUCUCAUCUGAGACAAGGCAAGUGCCUUCCACCUAUGAGCCUGUAAAAUCAAAAUCAAGUUAGUAACUUUUAUACCAUGGGGAUUUAGGCAUUGCAUAAAUGCUCCCAUUCCAAAUGGGAGAAAUAGGCCAAAACAAAGGGGCUACAGACCCCAUGCAAGUCCAAAAUCCAGUGGGACAGUCAUUAAAUCUUAAAGCUCCAAAAUGAUCUCCUUUGACUCCAUAUCUCACAUCCAUGGAACGAGAGUGAGCAAUGUAUUAAAGAAACAGGUUUAAUUGACUCACAGUUCAUCAUGGCUGGGGAGGCCACAGGAAACUUACAAUUAUGGUGGAAGGGGAAGCAGGCAACUUCUUCACAACUGGGCAGGAAAGAGAAGACUGGAGGAGAAACUUCCAAACACUUAUAAAUUCAUUAGAUCUCAUGAUAACUCACUCACUAUCAUGAGAACACCAUGGAGAAAACCAUCCCCAGGAUCCAAUCACCUCCCUCCCUUGAUACUUGGAGAUUACAGGUCUCUCCCUUGACAUGUGGGAAAUACAAUUCCAGAUAAAACUCGAGUGGGGACACAGAAUCAAACCAUGUCACUCUACCACCACAAUUACUCUGUUAUUCGCCAACAGGAAAUAUUUUACUUCUUCAAAAAAGGCACUUUCACCUGUUUUCUUUAUUGCUAUGUGAUGUUCAUUCAAUCUCACUUACCCAGUGCAGUUUCCCCAGGCCCAGAGAUUUCUGGUUAACACCUAUUCUUGGCAUCUUAGUUGGUUAUCAAUUUUUUCCAGAAUAUAUUUAUUGACCACUACCCCACUCCAUUCAUUUUGAUUAAAUGUGUUAAACAUAACCCAUGAAACCAGCACUUUCAUGUCAAUCUAUAGUUUUCAUAAUCUUAGAAUUCUUCAGAUUUUAUUGAACUUAGUUUUGUUCAUUUAACCCUCAAACUUGUAAGCUUGGUGGAAUUUUGGUUUGGGGUUCUUUAUAUCUCUAGUACUUAGCACUAAGCAUGGCAUAAGUUCUCAAGAAACAUUGA